UACGGAGGAUCCAAGCGUUAUCCGGAAUCAUUGGGUUUAAAGGGUCCGUAGGCGGCCCAGUAAGUCAGUGGUGAAAUCUCCCGGCUCAACCGGGAAAUUGCCAUUGAUACUGCUGGGCUUGAAUUACCAGGAAGUAACUAGAAUAUGUAGUGUAGCGGUGAAAUGCUUAGAGAUUACAUGGAAUACCAAGUUGCGAAGGCAGGUUACUACUGGUGGAUUGACGCUGAUGGACGAAGCGUGGUAGCGAACAG
This 251-nucleotide ribosomal RNA is filed under the name uncultured bacterium. Its description in RNAcentral is "partial 16S ribosomal RNA". It matches the Rfam family "Bacterial small subunit ribosomal RNA", at positions 524 to 775 of the family's 1533-position model. The record is from RNAcentral.